This 468-nucleotide ribosomal RNA is filed under the name uncultured bacterium. Its description in RNAcentral is "partial 16S ribosomal RNA". It matches the Rfam family "Bacterial small subunit ribosomal RNA", at positions 28 to 507 of the family's 1533-position model. The record is from RNAcentral.
GACGAACGCUGGCGGCGUGCUUAACACAUGCAAGUCGAACGGAAAGGCCCUGCUCUUGUGGGGUGCUCGAGUGGCGAACGGGUGAGUAACACGUGAGUAAACUGCCCUUGACUUUGGGAUAACUUCCGGAAACUGGGGCUAAUACCGGAUAGGAGCUCCUGCUGCAUGGUGGUGGUUGGAAAGUUUCGGCGGUUGGGGAUGGACUCGCGGCUAAUCCGCUUGUUGGUGGGGUAGUUGCUUACCAAGUGUUUGACGGGUAGCCGACCUGGGAGCUUGACCGGCGACAAGGGGCCUACGGGACGCCCCAGACGCGAAUGGGCGGCAGUAGGGGGGAGUAUUGCACAGUGGGCGGGCGUGUGAGGUGGAAGUGUCCCGAUCGGGAUGCCCUCUUAUGGGGUGUGAACAGCUGUCGAAGGAGCUGUAGCGGGAGUGACGGUACUGAGUCAAGAAGCACCGGCUAACUACGUG